CGACCAGCCACAUUGGGACUGAGACACGGCCCAGACUCCUACGGGAGGCAACAGUGGGGAAUUUUGGACAAUGGGCGCAAGCUUGAUCCAGCCAUGCCGCGUGCGGGAAUAAGGCCUUCGGGUUGUAAACCGCUUUUGUCAGGAAAGAAAAGGUUCUGGCUAAUACCUGGGACUCAUGACGGUACUUGAAGAAUAAGCACCGGCUAACUACGUGCCAGCAGCCGCGGUAAUACGUAGGGUGCAAGCGUUAAUCGGAAUUACUGGGCGUAAAGCGUGCGCAGGCGGUUAUGCAAGACAGAGGUGAAAUCCCCGGGCUCAACCUGGGAACUGCCUUUGUGACUGCAUAGCUAGAGUGCGGCAGAGGGGGAUGGAAUUCCGCGUGUAGCAGUGAAAUGCGUAGAUAUGCGGAGGAACACCGAUGGCGAAGGCAAUCCCCUGGGCCUGCACUGACGCUCAUGCACGAAAGCGUGGGGAGCAAACAGGAUUAGAUACCCUGAAAGUCCACGCCCUAAACGAUGUCAACUGGUUGUUGGGAGGGUUUCUUCUCAGUAACGUAGCUAACGCGUAAAGUUGACCCGCCUGGGAGUACGCCCGCAAGGUUGAAACUCAAAGGAAUUGACGGGGACCCGCACAAGCGGUGGAUGAUGUGGUUUAAUUCGAUGCAACGCGAAAAACCCUUACCUACCCUUGACAUGUCUGGAAUCAUAAAGAGAUUUGAGAGUGCUCGAAAGAGAGCCAGAACACAGGUGCUGCAUGGCCGUCGUCAGCUCGUGUCGUGAGAUGUUGGGUUAAGUCCCGCAACGAGCGCAACCCUUGUCAUUAGUUGCUACGAAAGGGCACUCUAAUGAGACUGCCGGUGACAAACCGGAGGAAGGUGGGGAUGACGUCAGGUCAUCAUGGCCCUUAUGGGUAGGGCUACACACGUCAUACAAUGGCCGGGACAGAGGGCUGCCAACCCGCGAGGGGGAGCUAAUCCCAGAAACCCGGUCGUAGUCCGGAUCGUAGUCUGCAACUCGACUGCGUGAAGUCGGAAUCGCUAGUAAUCGCGGAUCAGCUUGCCGCGGUGAAUACGUUCCCGGGUCUUGUACACACCGACCGUCACACCAUGGGAGCGGGUUCUGCCAGAAGUAGUUAGCCUAACCGCAAGGAGGGCGAUUACCACGGCAGGGUUCGUGACUGGGGUGAAGUCGUAACAAGGUAACC
RNAcentral lists this ribosomal RNA (1203 nucleotides) under Variovorax paradoxus. RNAcentral describes it as "bacterial SSU rRNA". It matches the Rfam family "Bacterial small subunit ribosomal RNA", at positions 301 to 1501 of the family's 1533-position model. Lineage: Bacteria; Pseudomonadati; Pseudomonadota; Betaproteobacteria; Burkholderiales; Comamonadaceae. The record is from RNAcentral.